AUUGGAAAUGAAGGGACGAGGGAUGAUGGAUGGUUGGAUGUCGACCAACCAUGUCAGAUUGGACUUCGUUUCAGAUUGCUCCCAAUCCACCCCAAACCACAUCUCUACGCUGCAUCUCCUCUCUCACUCUCUCAAUGGAGGGAGCUCUCUUCUCAAGCCGUCCAGCUUUCCCAACACACACAUCGAAAACGCCGAGAAAACCCUCGACCAACCAUCCAAAGUUCAACCCACCACCACCUCCUCCUUCUCAUUCCGUCCCCUUGGACUCCCUCCUGCACCAUCUCCAGCAUCUCACUCAAGAGACCUCCACCACUCUCCACCCACCUCAACCAACCAAUAAAAAUCCCAACUUUCCUUCUUUGCGCCUCGCUUCGACCACAAUUCACCGCGAGAAGGCAACUCCGGCGUCGCGCCCACGGCUCGCCGGCAGCGAAAAUGGUGUUCUGUUCCUGCGGGACCCUCGCCUCGGCUUCCUUUCCGGCGCAGGCAAGUCUUUGCUUAGAUCCAUCGUCGAACAGCCUCUUCUUGAUUUGGUGUCCCUGCUGGAAUCCAAAAAAGAUGAGAUUUUUGGCGUGGAUUGGGUCAGCCUCCUGAAGGCGCUCGAGAUCUUGGGCAACUGGGAGAAGGCUCUCGCCUUGUUUGAAUGGGCUGGAUCCGGUUCCAAUGCGGAGGGAUCCAGGUUAGACGCCCCGGCGAUCGAGGUGGUGAUCAGGGCGUUGGGUAGGCAUUCGCAGCACUCGAUCGCCUCGAAGCUGUUCGACUCUAUUCCUCUGGAGGAAUACUGCCUUGAUAUCCGCGCUUACACUACCCUGCUUCAUGCCUUGUCUCGGACUGGCAAGUACCGCAAAGCGGUCGCGUUGUUUAAGCAGAUCAAAGCCAAAGGGUUAUCGCCUACCUUGGUCACCUACAAUGUGAUUCUUGAUGUAUAUGGCCGUAUGGGGCGGUCUUGGAGUAAAAUUUUGGAAAUUUUGGAUGAAAUGAAUAGCAGAAAUGUGGGUAUUGAUGAGUUCACCUGUAGCACUGUCAUAUCAGCCUGCGGAAGGGAAGGUUUGUUGGAGGAGGCUUCCAUGUUUUUUGAACAAUUGAAGCUGCAGGGCUAUGUUCCAGGCACCGUCGCAUACAAUUCACUGCUCCAGGUGUAUGGUAAAGCUGGAAAGUAUCCGGCGGCCAUGGGGGUAUUGAAGGAAAUGGAGGACAAUAACUGCCCAGCAGAUGCAGUUACCUACAAUGAGCUCGUGGCGACCUAUGCUAGAGCUGGCUUUUAUGAAGAAGGGGCAGCAGUAUUAGACACAAUGGCUAGUAAAGGAAUCAUGCCUAAUUCUGUUACCUACACCACUGUGAUUAGCGGAUAUGGAAAGGCGGGAAAAGAGGAUGAAGCUUUGGCUUUGUUUGAUCGGAUGAAGAAGUUGGGUUGUGUUCCUAAUACUUGUACAUACAAUACGAUUCUUGGAAUGCUUGGAAAGAAAUCAAGGACAGGGGAGAUGUUGGACAUACUCUCCGACAUGAAGUCUAAUGGUUGUGUCCCAAAUAGGGUCACAUGGAACACAAUGUUGGCUAUGUGCGGGAAGAGGGGAAUGGAGAAUUAUGUCAGCCAAGUAUUUGAUGAGAUGAAGAAAUCAGGAGUUGAGCCGGACAGGGAUACCUUCAACACCUUGAUUGCUGCAUAUGGCCGGUGUGGGUCUAGCACCCAAGCUUUGCAGAUGUAUGAUGAGAUGGUCAAGGCAGGUUUUAGUCCUUGUACCACUACAUACAAUGCACUCUUGAAUGCAAUAGCUAGGAAAGGUGAUUGGAUAGCUGCGGAGUCUGUCAUAUUAGAUAUGAAGAAGAAGGGCUUCAAGCCUAAUGAACUUUCAUACUCUUUGUUGCUUCAAACUUAUGCUAAAGGAAGGCAUAUAAAAGGGAUACAGGCAAUUGAAGAAGAAGUUUAUGAUGAUAAAAUAUUUCCCAGCUGGGUGAUUUUAAGAACACUUAUUAUUGUCAACUUCAAGUGUAGAAUGCUAAAUGGCACAGAGAAGGCUUUUGAGGAGCUGAAGAGGAAUGGUUACAAGCCUGACUUGGUAAUCCUUAAUUCUAUGCUUUCAAUUUAUGCAAAGAAUGGGAUGUACGAUCGUGCUCGUGAGAUGUUUGACUUGAUUCAUCAGUUUGGAUUGCGACCUGAUCUCAUAACUCAUAAUAAUAUUAUGAACAUGUAUGCAAGAGGUGGAGAGUGUUGGGAAGCAGAAGACAUACUCAAGCAACUUGAAAAGUCAGGACUAAAGCCUGAUGUAGUGUCCUACAACACUGUAAUUAAUGGAUUUUGCAAGCAAGGUCUCAUGACUGAGGCCCUAAGGAUUCUAUCAGACAUGAUGGCUAAAGGAGUUACCCCUUGCAUGGUCACUUACAACACCUUCAUUUCUGGUUAUGUGAGCAAGGACAUGUUCAAAGAAGCUGAUGAUGUUAUUAGCUACAUGAUACAGCAUAACUGCAGGCCUGAUGAACUAACCUACAGGAUAAUUGUUGAUGGUUACUGUAAAGCCAAGAGAUAUGAGGAGGCUAUGGAGUUUGUGUCUGGGAUCUUAAAUAUGGAUUCAUCUUUUUCUGAGCAAUCAGUGAAUAAGCUAACUCUCCGGGUAGAAGAGAAUAAGUCUCGGCAUUGAUCCGUGCUCCACCAUUGCUGUUUGCAUAUUCUGGCUUGGCGGCACCAUGAGUAUAGCUCUAGGCGAGGAAGGAAGCAAUAUAUUGGUAGCUGACUUUUCUAUCUACUCUUCCAUCUACCUACUGUUUUCCAUUUCUAAACAACAACCACCCCCUCGGAGCAGCUAGCUAUUUUUUCCAUCAUGUUCCCAAGGUGCUUGGAUUUGAGAGGAAAGACCAAACAGGAAAUGGGUGUUGCAUAUCUAAAGCUAGUAUAAGACAUUAUUUUAUUUCAUUGCCCCAUUAAUUCCAUCUACUGGGGCCUUGCACCACAAACACUGAAUGCCAAGGCAACUUUUCUCAAGGUAUUCUUCUCACUAAGUGAACAGGUCUAAGCCACCAGAGCUUGCUUUCUCUUCUGCAAAGCUUUUACUUCUAACACUACUAAUUCAUGUGAAGACUUUUAAUUUGCAUAGUCUCAGUCCUUCCGAAGAUGUGGAUAUGGAUAGAACUUGAAUAAGUCUCUUGGCGGUGGUUGGCUCCAUUAAUAACAUAUCAUCAUCUUCUGUUAUAAACAUAACAUAUGGAUUUUAUGGAUCAAGUUCACAGCUAAAGCAUAUGAGCUACUUUCAGUAUUAGCUUUCCAGUUUUUUUUUUUUGGUCAUAAAAUGCACUUCCAAUCUUGUGUUUAUGUGUUCCUCUCCUGAAUUGUAAUUUUUGGUGAUGGUGGUUUAUGAUUUUGGUAUUGGAGUGUCAUCAUCCCCGCAUCUUGUUCUUUUGUAGCAUCUGUACUUGCCAGGAAUGGUUUCAGAGCAUCAUGGAUUUUGGAACAGUUGCAUACUGGCAGGCUUUUUCCACAACAUUUAAGACUCUGCUCAUGGCUUGUCAGCAACAGCUAACUACAUUACUAGCACGCUUCUUAUUUGGCUGUCAACCUCAAGUUGAUGUGCCAAUGAGCACAAAGGACUCAAUAGCAUGCAGUGACUGAUAUCACAGUUCUUUUUGCCUUUGGGCUACAAGAUUUUUCUGCACCAUAUUAACAAGGACCUUUGAUGCUUGACAUGUGCUGUCCCCAUUCACCAGAAUGCAAUGGAUUUACAUGAAUCACUAUCUGAUAUCAUUUUGAUGCAUAACAUAAUGUUCAGCUGAUUGAGGUACACAGUAUCACCAUAGAGUUUUUUUUAUGUUGUUGAUGUUAAGUUGAGUACAUAAAAAAUAUUUCAAAGAUGCUGUCUAGAAGUAUUGCUACCAGAUCAGCUGAUAAAGAUAGAUACGUGGGGCAUAAAUCAUCCAUGUUGACAACUUGUUCUCACAGUUUCAAAUGCAUGAGAAAGAAAGCAGCCUUCUCCUUCAUUUGUUUGGCAAGCAAUGAAGCCAAUUAGUACACCAGCAGAGGAGAUGCACCCCCAGUGGGUGAAAAGAGGUAAAUGUGUUUGGAUUAGAUGAUUUGGCCAAGCUUCUUUUUCUCUUUUUCUCCCACCCACUUUUCAUUUAUUGUGUCUGGUGCUGCUGGUCUUUUGUGAGGUCAAAAGGUGGUUUUAGGAGAAGAGUUUCAUUGAGGUUCACAGGUUGGUAUUCUGAUUCAGCUUGUACUGCCAUAGCAUGCACCACUCAUUUUGGUUGAGUGGAGUGUCUAUGUCAUCUAGUGCUUCUGAUAUUAUUAAGAUGCGUACUCUUUGGUAUCUGACAAAUCAUGAAGAUAUCUUCUUUUAGGUUCAACGUCUCAUAUUCUGCACUUUAUGUUUGUGCAAUGAAUAAAUUACUCAGCCCAUU
Musa acuminata subsp. malaccensis (wild Malaysian banana) is the source of this 4386-nucleotide non-coding RNA. NCBI's taxonomy places the organism in Eukaryota, Viridiplantae, Streptophyta, Magnoliopsida, Zingiberales, Musaceae. The record is from RefSeq and is a predicted model, not a curated record.